GAUGAUUUAUGCAUUGUAGCACCAAACAAAGGUUUCAGUCACUUUUCUGUCUGUAAAUUGUCCAUCACUGUGUAUGGGGCCAUAGUCUUGUGUCCUUUAUUCAUCUCCGUAAACAGUCAUCAUAUUAACCUGUUGACUGGUGUUUAUCAGACAGGAGCCUGUGGUUUCCUACUCUGAAUGCUGUUCGAGCCAUGUCGACUUCAGGAGGCCCCACUCCACCCUUCACCACCCUGUCAGUCACCCACCCAGCCAAUCACAUCACUCCUGUAGAGCUGCACUGACCAGAGAAACGCAACGCCAUGAACUAGGCCUACUGGAGGUAUGUUUUUUCAUCAAAUAAAGGACAUAACUACUGGGUUUUCCAAAAGUCUCCAUACAUAAGGGACCAUGUCUGCCAGUACCAGGUUGGUUGUGCCUUCGUCAGUGGACGUGCACUUCUCGGUUGGCCUGCAACACUUGCAGUCUUUUUGAAUUUGUUAAUAAGUUUGGAAACUGUGUUAUAUAUUUGCUGUGUUCGCCAUGUUUCCUGUUAGUCCAUCACAACCUUGCCACAGCUUCCUGAUCCAGGCAUGAGAAUGAUUUCAGUACAUUCUUCUCUUGUCAAAAGCGUUCUUAAAGGCUAUCUGGGGGGAAAAAAUUAAAGUAUGAAAAAAAACAAAACUUUUUUUGGAAGACAUUUAGUGAAAUGAUCGAAUGCUUUCUUCAGCUUUGAGUAUUGCUGAAGACUCAAAGUGCCGUGUGGUGGUGUUCUCGGGUGCAGGGAAAAUCUUCACUGCAGUUUAUUUUGGAUACAGGCAGAGGAAGCUCAGCGAAAGCUUAAGAGACAGAAUGGAGAGGACCCAGCCCUGCCUCCAUUCUGCCCACUGUUUGCCAGCUUGGGAAACAUUCUGCAGUGUGACGUGCCGCUUGGCAUGUUGGGAGCUGUGCUGCAGUGGGCUAUGGAGCCCAGUGGAGGACACUGGUCUGAGUCCAUGCUGCAGAGGGUAAAUGUUUGGAUGUUUUGUUAAAAUGACAUGAUAGUGUAGUAAAUUCAACAAAAUUCCACUUGCUAUGCUGUGUUCAUGAGCAUCACUUUUUAAUGACUGAGUAGUGUUCACAAUUCUGUAUGUGUGUGUUGCUACAGGUGCUGCACUUGUUAGGCAUGGCUCUGCUGGAGGAGCAGCAACAGCUAGAGAACAUUGGGGAUGACGAUGAAGUUACUUUCAACUUCACCCUGAAAAUCUCCCAUGGUGGUUAGCAUUAAAACGAUGCGCGAGUGCACAGCUGCUGCACCUCCCUGUGAAGGAACAGGGCACUGUCACAAGGAGACUGUGUGGGACAAAGACAAAGCAUAGAGAAAAAGGAAAGCUGAACUGUGCUGGAAAAAGACCAUGGCUCAAACAUUAUAGAGCCAGAGUCAUUUUAUCAAUAAGUACAUAGAUCUGCUCACGCAGGAUUCAGAGCAUCUGGACGCCUCAGCCUCUACAUCAGCAGAGCAUAGGUACCUAAGCAUGCUCGUAGUGACGCAGUGUUCUUAAUAAUUCAACUUGUAUUGUAUUCUCAAUAUCCAGUCAGUACAUUUAUGUCAGUAAAUGCAUGCAUCAACACUUCAUUGACUUUGCUGAGCAGUUGUCUGUUCUUUGUCCUAA
Long non-coding RNA from Ictalurus punctatus (channel catfish), 1628 nucleotides. RefSeq lists it as uncharacterized. The transcript is spliced from 6 exons. NCBI's taxonomy places the organism in Eukaryota, Metazoa, Chordata, Actinopteri, Siluriformes, Ictaluridae. The record is from RefSeq and is a predicted model, not a curated record.